Xenopus laevis (African clawed frog) is the source of this 2762-nucleotide long non-coding RNA. RefSeq lists it as uncharacterized. NCBI's taxonomy places the organism in Eukaryota, Metazoa, Chordata, Amphibia, Anura, Pipidae. The transcript has 2 exons. The record is from RefSeq and is a predicted model, not a curated record.
UCAGAGCUUUCUGGUUUCCCAAUAAUGGAUCCCAUACCUGUAUUACAUGGUUUAUUCCAUCUGGAUGCAUCUACCCCCCAGGCUUAUAUAUGUCUAUGCCAGCAGCUGAUAAAAUAGGCCCUGUUACUCUCAUUGUUCAUUGUGUCUGUCCCUCCCUGUCUACUCUUUAUGUAUGAAUGGGUGCAUCUCUUUGUCCUACUUAUCUGCCUUUGUCUGCCCUUUACUAUCUCUAAGUGACAUACAUGAGCGUGCCCUGGUUAGAAUGAUGAAUAAUACUGAUACAAGCAGAAACAGGAACCACUGCAAAGGGAGAAAGAUAAGGUAUAUACUGAUUUAUAGAUAAAACAGUUUGGGUCAGGAAAAAUUACAGGGCAAGAAAGAGGAAAAAGAGUUUAGGAGCCAUGUUUGGUGUGGGAGAAGCAGCUAGCAUUAUUAGAGGAACAAAGCAGCGGGGAUUAGCAGAAAACAGAUGGCACAUAAAUGCCACAAAUCAUUUCCCAGUACAAUGUUGAAGUUCUGGAAAGCACAAAAGAUAGAGACAACCUAUUAGUAAAAUGCAGGUACACACAGUGAGUCAGAGCUAGGGAGUGUAAAUAAAUAAACAAAGGCAAGGGGGGUGGCCCAGCCAUAUCUUCCUCAUUUAGCAUUUAGACUAGACACAAACAAGAAGCCUUUGUUAGUCCAUUGCACCCAAAUAGACUUCUCUUAUAAUAAUGUGGUCACGUAUAAUUAAUCAUUUUGCUUCAGGGCUAGGUGUCAGGUGGUAUGUUAUAACAGAAAUAACCUACACUUUAGGAUCAGGGCUAGGGUUACUACCUUUUCUGGGAAAAAAAUACCAGCCUUCCUAAAUUCUUGCCAUUUUUUCCUAUUAAUAAAAUUGGCAUCAAACAUUAUUCUUACCAGUCAGGUCGGUUCUCAGAUUCUGGGAGAUUUGUCGCGGGGUGACUAAUCUCCCCGAACUGCCUGCCACCGGCUAGAAUGUAAAUCGCUGAUGGGAUGGCACUCGUUUUCCAAAGCCCGAAGUCGUCCCAAAUAAGAGAUUUGUUGACUAAUCUCCACGAAUCUGAGCUUGUGCUCUAACCCUUAGGCAGGGCUGUGACUGGUCAGUAAGGGCUGGACCCUAGUAUUUAGAGAGGACUCCUUGGGCAGUAAUACUAUCAGUAACAACAAUUUGUUUAUUUCAGCUUUAUGUAAAAUUUCAUCAAGAAAUAACUCCAUGCACUUUCAUCCGGUAGCACACCAUUACACCAACACUCCCAAUAGAGGUACAGGCAGCUGCUAUUGUCUACACACACACACACACACACACAGAUAUACGCAGCACUUCCUCCUCUGUUUGACUUACUACUUGACCAUCAGUGCAACUGUGUACAGAUCCACAUGUUCAUACCUCAGCCACAUAAGUAGAUCUGUGCCAUUAUCUGUCCAUUUCACAUUUUCCCUGCACUGUAAUAAAUAUGGGCAUUUGCAUCUUGCACUGGUUGUGUGUGGAAUGAUAUAUAUCUGCUGUUCACAGGGAGAGCCACAAGGGAGCUACACACGCCAGCAGGGUCUCUCUAUAGAAGCUGCAACAGCCUGUGUAAUACAGAUGUCUAUGUGUGAUUUGACUUCAAACAAAUGUGAGUGCAAACUUGUUUUUAAAGCAUUUAAAUAAAUGGUCUUAAACUAUUCUGGAUUUGUAUUUUUCUAUAUAGGAAUCCGCAAAUCUGACUUGGAAGGAGAGGAGGAUCGGUGAACAUUACGGGCAAUAUACCAUCAUUUUGGCUUGCGCUGAUCUAUAUACAAAUUUUGGAGACUUUUUGGAUAGAGCUGAGAGACUGUGUGAGGAUCGGCAGGAGAAAGUAAUUUUUUGUUUUGUGAUUACCGAAAAUGCAUAACACAUAGUUUUUUUUCUGCAGUUUGGAGAAGUUCUUUCCUGUUUCAGCACUAUUAGGCUAUGGCCACACAACACGGUGCUUUGUCUGCAUUUCUUCGCAGGUCGAGUACCUGCAGCCGCACUGCUUCUCUUUUGCUGCGCUGCCUGCACCCCGAAUCAUUACUUUCGCUCGGGUUCAUUUUGCACUGAAAUCCACAGUGCCUGCAGCUAAACAGAAGAAGAGAAGCAGUGGAUAUAUACGUAUUGUGUGGCACUAGCCUUAUGUCCCCUGUGCACACAGUAAGGACCAUACAGAACUAGCUUGCUGCCAAAUAAGUAGAGGAAACUGAUUGGCUUGUACAGAGACAGUCCUCAACUGCACACCUAUUGGGUUGCAAGCCAGGCCUGAUUAGGGUUGCCAUCUGGCUGGUAUUUUACUGGCCUGGCCAGCAAAAAUGAUGGUUGAUCCUAAUGUUAUUAAUAGGGAAUAAAGAUAAAUAUAUAGGAAGGCCGGUAUUUUUUCCAGAAAAGGUGGCAACCCUAGGCCUGAUCAGUAAAAAUCAGUUAUAAAUGGUAGCAAAUCCCACCAGCUACAGUAUGCUCCAAUUUCUAGUGGAAAGCCUUACCAGAAGUGUAACGCCUGUUAUAGCAGCAGAUGGAGGACCAGUUUCAUAUUAAUACCUUUAGCUUCAAAAUGAGAUAUGGGACAGGCAUAUAUCAUAAUACAUUUGAUACUGUAAUGCAUUUUAUGUAGAGUCCAUUUUGUAUAUCCACCCAUCAUACACAAUGGACUGUUCAUGACUGCUGCUUAUAAACUGGAACGGCUACAGCUGGUAGCAGUUAUGCAUGUGCCCUUUUAGUAAUUGUGCCUUUUUGUGUUUUACAUACAAAUAAAGCAGGACAAGUG